Molecule: ribosomal RNA, 658 nt
Filed under: uncultured Enterobacteriaceae bacterium
Lineage: Bacteria; Pseudomonadati; Pseudomonadota; Gammaproteobacteria; Enterobacterales; Enterobacteriaceae
Description: bacterial SSU rRNA
Rfam family: Bacterial small subunit ribosomal RNA
Source: RNAcentral
GCGAUAAAUCGACCGCCUGGGGAGUACGGCGCAAGGUUAAAACUCAAAUGAAUUGACGGGGGCCCGCACAAGCGGUGGAGCAUGUGGUUUAAUUCGAUGCAACGCGAAGAACCUUACCUGGUCUUGACAUCCAUAGAAUUCUGCAGAGAUGUGGGAGUGCCUUCGGGAACUAUGAGACAGGUGCUGCAUGGCUGUCGUCAGCUCGUGUUGUGAAAUGUUGGGUUAAGUCCCGCAACGAGCGCAACCCUUAUUCUUUGUUGCCAGCGAUUUGGUCGGGAACUCAAAGGAGACUGCCGUUGAUAAAGCGGAGGAAGGUGGGGACGACGUCAAGUCAUCAUGGCCCUUACGACCAGGGCUACACACGUGCUACAAUGGCGUAUACAAAGGGAAGCGAAGGUGCGAGCUGGAGCGGAUCUCAUAAAGUACGUCUAAGUUCGGAUUGGAGUCUGCAACUCGACUCCAUGAAGUCGGAAUCGCUAGUAAUCGUAGAUCAGAAUGCUACGGUGAAUACGUUCCCGGGCCUUGUACACACCGCCCGUCACACCAUGGGAGUGGGUUGCACCAGAAGUAGAUAGCUUAACCGCGAGGGGGGCGUUUACCACGGUGUGAUUCAUGACUGGGGUGAAGUCGUAACAAGGUAACCAAGGGCGAAUUCCAG